This 803-nucleotide ribosomal RNA is filed under the name Dimelaena oreina. RNAcentral describes it as "SSU rRNA". It matches the Rfam family "Bacterial small subunit ribosomal RNA", at positions 354 to 1227 of the family's 1533-position model. The record is from RNAcentral. Lineage: Eukaryota; Fungi; Ascomycota; Lecanoromycetes; Caliciales; Caliciaceae.
GUGAGGAAUAUUGGUCAAUAGCCUAACGGCUGAACCAGCAACUUGGGGGAAUGUAUAGUGGUUUAUCCGCAUAAAGUUCUAGAUAGAAUACUGAUAAUGACAAUUUUCUAUCUAAAUGUCUUGACAAAAUCACAGAGCCAGCAGUCGCGGUAAUACGGGAGAGACUAGUGUUAUUCAUCUUUAAUAGGUUUAAAGGUACCUAGACGGUAUAUCUAGCCGAUAUAAGGUACGGAUUUUACUAGAGUUUUAUUUGAGAGGCAUAUAGUACUAGCAGAGGAGAGAUAAAAUUCGUUGAUACUGCUAGGAACUGGUAACGGCGAAGGCAAUCCUCUAUCUAAUAACUGACGUUGAGGGACGAAGGCUUGGGUAGCAAACAGGAUUAGAUACCCUAAUAGUCCAGGCAGAAAAUUAUGAGUGCCAUAGAUUAGUUUAGAUCAGACCUCACCGCAACCGUAGUCUCGGCUAAUAUGUUGAUCUAUAAAUGAAAGUGUAAGCAUUCCACCUCAAGAGUAGUGCGGCAACGCUGGAACUGAAAUCAUUAGACCGUUUCUGAAACCAGUAGUGAAGUAUGUUGUUUAAUUCGGUACCCCACGAAAAACCUUACCACAACUUGAAUAUUAUUAAUUUAUUACAAGUGUUGCAUGGCUGUCUUCAGUUAAUGUCGUUAGAUGCAGGUUAGCUCCAUUAAAUUAACGUAAACCCUUACUUUAUUAUCAUAAGGUAGUUCUCCUAUAGAUUGGAUAAGAUAACAGGGACCAAGACUAGAACUCAUGACCUUAAUGUUGUGGGCUAUAGACGUGCCA